Molecule: small RNA, 633 nt
Filed under: Pan troglodytes (chimpanzee)
Lineage: Eukaryota; Metazoa; Chordata; Mammalia; Primates; Hominidae
Description: retained intron
Source: RNAcentral
CACGCAUGAGGAGACGUGUAGGGGCCGGGUUCGGCCCUGGUGAUCUCUCACCCGAGCGGUUUCUCUUUCCGGGACAACAUGGCGCCGUCCACGCCGCUCUUGACAGUCCGAGGAUCAGAAGGACUGUACAUGGUGAAUGGACCACCACAUUUUACAGAAAGCACAGUGUUUCCAAGGUAUGAUUUAUUUUGUUAAGUAAUGUUAUAGGGAACAUACAGUACAAUCUAAAAUGGUUUUGUUGGUGGUGUAUUUUGAACAAGAAAGGAAAAGAACAGAUGAACUCAUUUUUAUUGUAUAAUAUUAACCGAAGAUGAAAAGAAUACAUAUUCUCUAUCAAGGAAAAUGAUCUUCAGAUCUGAAAAUAGUAACUUAAGCCUAUUUAUAAGGUAGGGGGAACAAUACUAAGAAAAAGUGUAGACACUAGUGUAAUUGAAUACAAGCCUUUAUUUUACAAGAGUUUUAUCUUAAGGAAUGAGAAAAACUUGCAAAUUUGAUAGCCAAAUCACGGCCAGUAAUCUUAGUGAAAUCAUAAUGAAAAAGAUAUUAAAAAGGGAGGACAUAUAUAUGCACAUAGUAUAUAGCUAGCUAGAUUAAUUUUUUUUCCCCAAAGAAACAAUGGACAAGUAAACCAAA